CGCGUAGACGGUUUUGUAAGUCAGAUGUGAAAUCCCUGGGCUCAACCUGGGAACUGCAUUUGAAACUGCAUGGCUAGAGUAUGGUAGAGGGAAGUGGAAUUUCCGGUGUAGCGGUGAAAUGCGUAGAUAUCGGAAGGAACACCAGUGGCGAAAGCGACUUCCUGGACCAAUACUGACGUUCAUGUGCGAAAGCGUGGGGAGCAAACAGGAUUAGAUACCCUGGUAGUCCACGCCAUAAACGAUGACAACUAGAUGUUGGGAGGGUCUACCUCUCGGUGUCGCAGCUAACGCGUUAAGUUGUCCGCCUGGGGAGUACGGCCGCAAGGUUGAA
Molecule: ribosomal RNA, 331 nt
Filed under: uncultured bacterium
Lineage: Bacteria
Description: bacterial SSU rRNA
Rfam family: Bacterial small subunit ribosomal RNA
Source: RNAcentral